RNAcentral lists this ribosomal RNA (491 nucleotides) under uncultured bacterium. RNAcentral describes it as "partial 16S ribosomal RNA". It matches the Rfam family "Bacterial small subunit ribosomal RNA", at positions 29 to 506 of the family's 1533-position model. The record is from RNAcentral.
AGUGAACGCUGGCGGUAGGCCUAACACAUGCAAGUCGAACGGCAGCACAGUAAGAGCUUGCUCUUACGGGUGGCGAGUGGCGGACGGGUGAGGAAUACAUCGGAAUCUACUUUUUCGUGGGGGAUAACGUAGGGAAACUUACGCUAAUACCGCAUACGACCUACGGGUGAAAGCAGUGGAUCUUCGGACCUUGCGCGAUUGAAUGAGCCGAUGUCGGAUUAGCUAGUUGGCGGGGUAAAGGCCCACCCAGUCGACGAUCCGUAGCUGGUCUGAGAGGAGGAUCAGCGACACUGGAACUGAGACGCGGUCCAGACUCCGACGGGAGGCAGCAGUGGGGAAUAUUGGACAAUGGGCGGAAGCCUGAUCCAGCCAUACCGCGUGGGUUAAGAAGGCCUUCGGGUGGUAAAGCCGUUUUGUUGGGAAAGAAAAGCAGCGGGUUAAUACCACGCUGUUCUGACGGUACCCAAAGAAUAAGCACCGGCUAACUGCGU